This 74-nucleotide transfer RNA is filed under the name Segatella copri. Its description in RNAcentral is "tRNA-Ala". It matches the Rfam family "tRNA". From Rfam's summary of the family: Transfer RNA (tRNA) molecules are approximately 80 nucleotides in length. The record is from RNAcentral. Lineage: Bacteria; Pseudomonadati; Bacteroidota; Bacteroidia; Bacteroidales; Prevotellaceae.
GGGGUUGUAGCUCAGUUGGCUAGAGCGUCUGGUUUGCAUCCAGAAAGUCGUGAGUUCGAAUCUCACCUUCUCCA